This 595-nucleotide ribosomal RNA is filed under the name uncultured bacterium. RNAcentral's name for it is "partial 16S ribosomal RNA". It matches the Rfam family "Bacterial small subunit ribosomal RNA", at positions 355 to 1376 of the family's 1533-position model. The record is from RNAcentral.
UGGGGAAUCUUCCGCAAUGGACGAAAGUCUGACGGAGCAACGCCGCGUGUAUGAUGAAGGUCUUCGGAUUGUAAAGUACUGUCAUUGGGGAAGAACGGUUUUCUUGAGAAUAUUGAGAAGACAUGACGGUACCCAAGGAGGAAGCCCCGGCUAACUACGUGCCAGCAGCCGCGGUAAUACGUAGGGGGCAAGCGUUGUCCGGAAUUAUUGGGCGUAAAGGGCGCGUAGGCGGGCCUUUAAGUCCGGUGUGAAAGAUCAGGGCUCAACCCUGAGAGUGCAUCGGAAACUGGAGGCCUUGAGGACAGGAGAGGAAAGUGGAAUUCCACGUGUAGCGGUGAAAUGCGUAGAUAUGUGGAGGAACACCAGUGGCGAAGGCGACUUUCUGGACUGUAACUGACGCUGAGGCGCGAAAGCGUGGGGAGCAAACAGGAUUAGAUACCCUGGUAGUCCACGCCGUAAACGAUGAGUGCUAGGUGUAGAGGGUAUCGACCCCCUUCUGUGCCGCAGUUAACACAAUAAGCACUCCCGCCUGGGGAGUACGGCCGCAAGGGUUGAAACUCAAAGGAAUUGACGGGGGUCAUAGCUGUUUUUCCCU